CAUGUAUCCAAACAUAUAUAAUUUUUAUCAGUACGAUGGGGUCUUUUGAUUGGUAUACUUGAUGACAAUAAUGGGGGGUCAUGUAACAUAAAACUGUGUAUGGUAUUUAGACACAUUCACAUCAUGAUAUAAAAUGUUACUUCUUUACAUCAAGUUUAGCAGUACAGCUAAGAUAAUACCUUAGAAAAAUCCAAUAAACAGUCAAAUUCAUACUUUUGAAUGCUAAUAUAAAAUAGGCUAUAUACAUUUUGGUAACUUUUGAAUUUUUGGUCAAUAUGACAUGCCUGAAAGAUAAAAUCAAAAUAUCAGUUUAAAAUCAUAAUUGUUUAUCAUUGAAGACAGUAUUACAUUUAACCCCACAUACUGGGUUAAUUGUAACAUUUCACUCCCUCCACUUUCGGUUGAAUUGUAAAUGACUGGUAUGUUGUAGUUACAGUGUGUAAUGGUAGCUGAGAUAUGUAAGUUGUUUGUAUAACAAUAUUGUUAAUCUAACUCAAUAACAUUUUCAUAAUAUAGCCCAACCCUAAAAGUGUUACUUGGUUCCCCGGUCUCCUUCAAUCAAAUAGGCCUACAGUGUGUAACUCUGUCACUUUCAAUUGAGCUAUUCACUUUCUGUUAAAGAGAUGUUUAAAUGCUCAAUGCAGAUGUUUUUAUAUCAAUAUCAUUUCUGGGUAACAAUUAGGUACCUUACUGUAAUAGUUUUCCGUUAAAAUUGGCAAAAAUCGCUUUUUAGCAAAAAAUCUAAGUUAAGUAAGAAUUUUGCUAGGACUGUCUAGUAGUGGUCUGCGUGGGGAGGGUAAAACUGGAAACUAGCUGUUAUUGGCAGAAAGGUUUGGAACUCUCUUUGUUGUUAUUGUUCUAUUAACCAAUUUACCACAUGGUGAUGUCACCAUGGAAAGCUGAAACUCCUGCCCAUGCAAACCUGGUUAGAUUGUAUUUUCAACCAGCAACUUUCAAGAAAUAACACUGAUCACAUUUUUUCAGACUUUUACAGUGUUUGUUUCAUCAACUGUUGUACAGUAUGGUACAAAACACAAGAAAACAGAAUUUUAGGGACGUACUUGUGGCGUUCUCUUUUUGGGUUAAGUCACUGAAGAGUAGUUAUCAGUUAAAGCUUAAAUUGUUCUGCGUCAGACCUCUGUCUGGACUGGAAAGGUAACUUUAGGCUACAAUGCUUAGAAUCAUAGGACGUCUCAGAGCAAAUUAUUUGCAAACAGUGUCAGUUUCGUUGCAAACAAGUCACACUGGUUUGGUAUGGGGAAAUGUGGUAAGAUGAACGGAUAUCUCUUCCAUGGAAAGUUUAUUUUCUAAAUCUGCUUUUCUUUUGGGACUUUUUGAGAGCGACAUUUUCUCUUGCAAGCGAGCUGAUUGUUUUGAGCUAACAAAAAGUAGAGAACCAAGAAAGACAAAACUCAUUUAUUAGACAUUGUUGAUUUUAUCAAAAUUAUUAUGUUAUUGUCAUUGAAUUGAUAAUGUACUUACCAGAUGCCAGUGUUAAAAAUAGUGUACUGUAGGUCUAUAAAUUGGGCUGCUAUUAUUUUAUGUUCUGGUCCACCGACUAAUAGUUGAGAAAAACUGUGGUAUUAAAAAAAAAAACAUUCUGCUCGUAAUAGUAAGGCCUAGGCCUACAUUGUCACAUAUUUUGAGUUAAUUCUCAUUUUUUUCAUACAUUUUUUUCAAGUACAAGGGGAGGAUCAUGUGGGAAAAAAUGUAAUGUUGGGGAAGAGGGUGUGUUUUUGGGGGGGACAUCUCGAGUUGGAUAAUUUUCUAAUGGUCCCUUACAUUUAUCUUUAAUUUACCGUCUAAGCAUUUGUAUCUGUCAUGUGUGAAUGUCACUGUUAAUUUGUUUACAAUAUACACUACAAUACCAAAAGUAUGUAGACACCUACUUAUCGAACAUCUCAUUCCAAAAUCAUGAGCAUUAAUAUAUGCAUCACUCCAGAGAACUCGUUUCCACUGCUCCAGAGUCCAAUGGCAGCAAGCUUUACAGCCGAUGCUUGGCAUUGUGCAUGGUGAUCUUAGGCUUGUGUGGGACUGCUUGGCCAUGGAAACCCAUUUCAUGAAGCUCCCGACAAACAGUGUUUGUGCUGACGUUGCUUCCAGAGGCAGUUUGGACCUCGGUAGUGAGUGUUGCAACCGAGGAAAGACGUUUGGUCCGCGCUUCAGCACUCGACGGUGCCGUUCUGUGAGCUGGGUCGUUGUUGCUCCUAGACGUUUCCACUUCACAAUAACAGCACUUACAGUUGACCGGGGUAGCUCUAGCAGAGCAGAAAUUUGACUUGUUGGGAAGGUGGUAUCCUAUGACAGUUUCACGUUGAAAGUCUGAGCUCUUCAGUAAGGCCAUUCUACUGUCAAUGUUUGUCUAUGGAAAUUGCAUGGUUGUAUUCUCAAUUUUAUAAACGCCAGCAACAGGUGUGUCUGAAAUAGCUGAAUCCACUCAUUUGAAGGGGUGUCCACAUACUUUUGUAUACAUAUAUCUUAUCUGACUUGCCAUAACUGAAGUUCCUUCUGGAAAAAAAAGUAACUCUAUUCUAUGCACACAAUUCAACCAGAUUCAAGCAUCAAGCGAGUGGAGAGGAAUUCAAGCAGUGCCAUCUACAUACUGGCCGCAUCACCGAUACAACCCCUUGUUUUGCAUGACCCGGAAGAUGUAUAGUAUCUUUGAAUCUUUAUUACCUUUCCUGUUACAAUGUUAAUGGAUAAAUGUGAUAUGAUGACAUGAUUACUUUUAGAGUAGUAUGUGUAUGAAUCCUAUUUUUCAGUUGUAAUGGUAUCUCCCUCUAAAGUGUAUGUACAUUUAUAUUAAGAGGUAUUGUGAGCAUAUGGACACAAGGCGAGACCCAAAUGCAGGCACAGGAAGCAGAUGGUUGAGCUCCAGUAUUUAUUAAUCCAAAACAGUCCAAAACAGUACCAGGCGAAGGACAGUCUUGAGGUCAGGUCAGACAGGGGGUUCAGUAACCAGAUUGGAGUCCAAACAGUAUAAGGGGAUAGGCAGGCUUAAAGACAGAACAGGCAGAGUGGUCAGGCAGGCAGGUUCAGAGUCCAAACAGGCAAGGGUCAAAACCAGGAGGACUAGAACCAAAAGAGACUGGGAAAAAAUAGGAGCAAGAAAAACCGCUGGUUGACUUGGCAAACAAGGCAAGCUGGCACAGAGAGACAGGAAACACAGAUAUAUACACCGGGGAUAAUAAGCAACACCUGGAGGGGGUGGAGACGAUCACAAAGACAAGUGAAACAGAACAGGGUGUGACAGUGAGAGAAUGAAUCUGAUUGAAGGGUUAUCGCGAGAUCACCUUGGAAUUAGAAUACUAGAAUGGACAUGAACUUUCUUAUGGUAGAGUAAAAGGUCAGCCAUUUUGGUAAAGGACUUGCUCAACCACAAUGGUCAGCGAGUGCUGUGAGAAGAUGUUAUUUAAAACAAUGAAUUUAAAACAAUGACUUUGAAAAUUAUAUGCACAGUAAUGUUUAUUAGCUAGCUAGUCUGCCAGUUUUAGUAGAAUGAUUCCAUCAUUUUUUUUCGAAAUGACUGCCAAUAUGUCCGACAUUCCAAACAAACAAUGUAGUCAAUACACAGGCUGAAAUCAGUUGGUGAUAUGACUUAGACAAAAUGUAAAUGCAACAAGUAACUGAUAUUGUAUUAUAUUAUAAGAUUCACAACUUUCCAAGAAAACAAACAUUGAAAACAUUUUUGAGGCAAUUUAUACAGAACAUUUCUAGAAAACCUGUAUUUACAGGUCAAAAGUUUGGACACCUACUCAUUCCAGGAUUGUUAUUUAAUGUUACUAUUUUCUAACACAUGGAAUAAUGUAGUAACCAACAAAGCGUUAAACAAAUUAAAAUAUGUUUUACAUUUUAGAUUAUUCAAAGUAGCCACCCUUUGCCUUGAUGACAGCUUUGCACACUCUUGGCAUUCUCUCAACCAGCUUUAUGAGGUAGUCAUCUGGAAUACAUUUCAAUUAACAGGUGUACCUUGUUAAAAGUUAAUACGUGGAAUUUCUUUCCUUAAUGCUUUUGAGACAAUCGGUUGUGUUGUGACAAGGUAGUGGUGGUAUAGACAAAAUACCAAGUCCAUAUUAUGGCAAGAACAGCUCAAAUAAGCAAAGAGAAACGACAGUCCAUCAUUACUUUAAGAAAUUAAGGUCAGUCAAUCCGGAAAAUUUCAAAAACGUUGAAAGUUUCUUCGAAGUGCAGUUGCAAAAACCGUCAAGCGCUUUGAUGAAACUGGCUCUCAUGAGGACCCCCACAGGAAAGGAAGACCCAGAGUUACCUCUGCUGCAGAGAUUAAGUUCAUUAGAGUUACCAACCUCAGAAAUUGCAGCCCAAAUAAAUUAUUCACGGAGUUCAAGUAACAGACACAUCUCAACAUCAUCUGUUCAGAGGAGACUGUGUGAAUCAGGCCUUCAUGGUCAAAUUGCUGCAAAGUAACCACCACUAAAGAACACCAAUAAUAAGAAGAGACUUGCUUGGGCCAAGAAACACGAGCAAUGGAUAUUAGACCGGUGGAAAUCUGUCAUUUGGUGUGAUCACCAAUAAUAAGAAGAGACUUGCUUGGGCCAAGAAACACGAGCAAUGGAUAUUAGACCGGUGGAAAUCUGUCCUUUGGUCUGAUGAGUCCAAAUUUGAGAUUUUUGGUUCAUUGUAAGACGCAGAGUAGGUGAAUGGAUGGUCUUUGCAUGUGUGGUUCCCACCAUAAAGCAUGGAGGAGGACUGUGAUGGUGUGGGGGUGCUUUGCUGGUGACAGUGAUGUAUGUAGAAUUCAAGGCACACUAGACCAGCAUGGCUACCACAGCAUUCUGCAGCAAUAUGCCAUCCCAUCUGGUUUGCGCUUGGUGGGACUUUCAUUUGUUUUUCAACAGGACAAUGACCCAACACACCUAAAGGUUGUGUAGGGGUUAUUUGACCAAGAAGGAAAUUGAUGGAGUGCUGCAUAAGAUGACCUGGUCUCCAUAAUCACCAGACCUCAAACCAAUUGAGGUUGUUUGGGAUGAGUUCGACCACAGAGUGAAGGAAAAGCAGCCAACAAGUGCCCAGGUGAAGCUGGGUAAGAGAAUGCCAAGGGUGUGCAAAGCUGUCAUCAAUGCAAAAGGUGGCUACUUUGAAGAAUAUCAAAUAUAUUUUGAUUUGAUUAACACUUUUUGGGUUACUACAUGAUAACAUAUGUGUUAUUUCCUAGUUUAUGUCUUCACUAUUAUUCUACAAUGUAGAAAAUAGUACAAAUAAAGAAAAACCCUUGAAUGAGUAGAUGUGUCAACUUUUGACUGGUACUUUUUAAUUAUGAUCAUAUUUAGGUUGACAAUAAUUCUAUUACACAAUUUCUGAUAUAUCACCUGCCUUACUUUUAUUUUCCUGCAUAAGUAAAAGCAGGAAAUGCAUCACCUAUGCCUCUACUGCCAUUCAUUCCAAUUUUAUUUUACUAUAAUGACUGCCAUUAUCAUCCCAUUCUUGAACUUUGAGGGUUUAUUACAUACCCGCUCAAGAAAUGUCAUAGGACCUCUAUGUAUUAAUAAAUCCAUCCACUCCACCUGUUGUAUGUCUUCUAGAUAAUGCACAAUCAUCACGAAAUGUACUAAACUUCAAAAGGUAUUUAUAAUAGAAUGUGAUUGAUUGUGAUAGACUGUCUACAAUGUACAGUGUUGUGAUGAUAAAUCAAAAAAUAAAC
Oncorhynchus tshawytscha (Chinook salmon) is the source of this 5659-nucleotide long non-coding RNA. Lineage: Eukaryota; Metazoa; Chordata; Actinopteri; Salmoniformes; Salmonidae. The record is from Ensembl.